AAAUUGAAGAGUUUGAUCAUGGCUCAGAUUGAACGCUGGCGGCAGGCCUAACACAUGCAAGUCGGACGGUAACAGGAAGCAGCUUGCUGCUUUGCUGACGAGUGGCGGACGGGUGAGUAAUGUCUGGGAAACUGCCUGAUGGAGGGGGAUAACUACUGGAAACGGUGGCUAAUACCGCAUAACGUCGCAAGACCAAAGAGGGGGACCUUCGGGCCUCUUGCCAUCAGAUGUGCCCAGAUGGGAUUAGCUUGUUGGUGAGGUAACGGCUCACCAAGGCGACGAUCCCUAGCUGGUCUGAGAGGAUGACCAGCCACACUGGAACUGAGACACGGUCCAGACUCCUACGGGAGGCAGCAGUGGGGAAUAUUGCACAAUGGGCGCAAGCCUGAUGCAGCCAUGCCGCGUGUAUGAAGAAGGCCUUCGGGUUGUAAAGUACUUUCAGCGGGGAGGAAGGUGUUGUGGUUAAUAACCGCAGC
RNAcentral lists this ribosomal RNA (476 nucleotides) under Salmonella enterica subsp. enterica serovar Thompson. Its description in RNAcentral is "partial 16S ribosomal RNA". It matches the Rfam family "Bacterial small subunit ribosomal RNA", at positions 1 to 473 of the family's 1533-position model. The record is from RNAcentral. Lineage: Bacteria; Pseudomonadati; Pseudomonadota; Gammaproteobacteria; Enterobacterales; Enterobacteriaceae. RNAcentral also lists the same sequence under 1 other name.